CAAGAUUUUGUGCAGUGGUUGAUGAAUACCAAGAGGAACAGGAAUAACAUUGCCAAACGUCACGAUGAAUUUGAGAGACAUGCUGAAGGGACCUUUACCAGUGAUGUAAGUUCUUAUUUGGAAGGCCAAGCUGCCAAGGAAUUCAUUGCUUGGCUGGUGAAAGGCCGAGGAAGGCGAGAGUAAGUCUGUACAUUCUUAUUUGACAUUUUUUGCCUUGAUGCAGAAAAUUUAAGACUACAGUUAUCUAUAUAUGGAUCUGGAUUACAGAAGCAAUUAGUAGUCUUGCAAAGUAAGGAAAUAAUUCCUAUUGAUGAGAAACAGUAUAUAAAAGUUGAAUCCAUUUUGUUUUUGGUACUAAGUAUUAAUAAUAGAGCCAAACAGGUUACAUUUUUAUCCCCUUAUAGUUGCAUUCUAAUUAGGUAUUAAAUCUUUGGCCAAACCAGGCCACCUCUGAGAGUAAAUAAGAUGUUUUUAAUAACUACACUGAGACAAAUUUAAACUAGGACUGUUCUAGGGGAGCUAGAGAUAAGGAAAAAGAAGAAACAGUGCUGAAAACUUCAAAUAUGUAAAGAAAACAUGUAAUAUUUAAAGCUUAACUUUAAACAUUUACAUAUGUGAUCAACACAUAUUUAUAUGUUAAUAAAUAUUCAGAUAAAAAUGUGAUGAAGACUGAAAGUGACCAAACAUAAGAUGUUGAUAAAAUGAUAUUCAAAGUACAAAUAGAUAAAAACAUCCAUAUAUUUAACUACAUAUCCGAUUUUGUAUGGGGCUGUCAUACAGAUAUCUAUUAAAUAUUCAAAGUUGAAAAACAACCAAGACCAUUAAUUACUUGCUUGGAUCUUAACACAGCCAAACAGACCCCUGCACCAUUUCAUUUUCUUCUGAUUUUUUUGGAGAGAUGAAAUAUGAGAGACGGAGAAUUUAUGUUCAACUCUGAUUUUUAAAUUAGAUUUAAAACAAGCUUACUGAAAUUUAAAGAGAUCUCAAGAUGAAAGAGAACUAGCAUAAUGGUUGGUUUUUAAA
This 1023-nucleotide small RNA is filed under the name Pongo abelii (Sumatran orangutan). RNAcentral describes it as "retained intron". The record is from RNAcentral. Lineage: Eukaryota; Metazoa; Chordata; Mammalia; Primates; Hominidae.